GAAGAUAGAAUGUUGUAGAUUCUGAGAAACUGGCCCAAGUGACCCUGAAUUUUUGUGAAGUAUUGGUCCCCCUGUCUGUACUGUGAUUCAGGCUUUUAAACUGAUCACAUCCAGAAAACCUGGGGGAACCUGCUCUCAACAACUUCUUCCUCUCUGAAUUCAAAGACACUCAGGAAUUUUCUUGGUUGGAAGCUUAGGGACCUGUUGCUUCCAGGCAUUGGCAGGCCCAAGAUGGAUCUUGCAACAGGGUUCAUGAUGAUAUGAACUGCUGAGCUUCUGGGUUGGCCAUGAGAUGAGCAGUUAUUCUCUGCCACGUGCUUGAACUGCCACAAUGUUCUCCUCAAGUCUACUGGGUCAAGUGACCAUGGAAUGAAUGUGCUGAAACCGUGACUCAAACCUUUCCUCCUUUAAAGCUGUUCAGUCACAAACAAGUGAACUGUAGCAAGUAUCCUUCCUUGGCUGCUGUUCUAGUGGCGCCAGAUCACCCUUUCCAUGGAGACAAGACAUAGAAGCCAUCUUGAUGCUUAACAUCCUAGGCUUAUGCUAAACCAUAGAACAUUUCAGCCAGGCCCAGUAAUAACUCAUUUCAUGUAGGUUCAGAGUCAUAGAAAUGGAAGUCCCUGCAGAACCCCACAGAUACCAGCUCUCAGAACAUUUAGGGGGAUCCUAGAGCAACAGCUUCUUUUGGAGAACCUGAACUAGCUGCAUAACGGGUUGUCAGGGGCUGUGAGGAAGCUGCAAUUGGACAUCAGAGCUGAACUGGGUGAUGGGGCAGUUGAUUUGCUUUCUGGAAAAUUCUUCAUUUAUCUCUAAGAUCGCAGCAGUGUUCUGAUGGUUUGGUAUGGUACGAUGACUUAUUCUAUCAUACCACUUCUUUUCCAUACUGAAACCACCAUCACACAGAAUCUUUCAGCAACUCUCAGUCAUAAGGGCAGAUGGCAACUAUUAAUUAUAGUAUACAAUUAACAUACUGAUUUGGGAUGCUUGAAGUUUUAAAAAGCAUUGAUUUUAGAAAAACUAAAUCUAAUGGUGGAAUGCUUCUAUGACAGAAACAAUAAAUAAGGCACCUCUUUUAAAUGCCAGUCCCUUUAGAGCAAAGAUCCAACAUCAAAUUAAUAAUAUAGUUCCUCCUUUGCAGAUACACCGCCAACCCAUGAGUUGUGUAAUUCCUUGUGAGCUCUUUAUGUGCCUCCUAAAGAGGAUGCAAGGCUUGAGCACAGUGUAAUGGAGCUGGAAUCAGAUCCAACGCCUCUGUUCAUCUUGAGAGUUCUAGGUUACAUGGAUGACCUUUGGAUGAGCAGUGGACAACUCUAACUUCCAUCCGUGUUCCACAAAGAGUAAACACAAGCCUACCAGUGCUUCAGUCACAGUUUAAGAUGGUGAUAUGUUCCCAGUUCAGCCAACAGCUGGCUAGCACUCAAGAAAUAUUAAGGGUGAUUUGUAAGUGAAUUUUCCUUGGUGGAGAAAAAGGGGUGGAAAAAUUUUACACAAAUGGGAGAAGGAGAGAGGUAAACACAAAAGAAAAUGUGGGGGAGUGCAAAGGGGAACAGCAGGAUGCAAGUUAUCUGAGCGAGGAAAUAAGAAAAUGGGGGGAUUUUUAGGGAGGAGGCAGCGAGGGAGGUAAGUACAGAAGGAGGAAGGGGAGGGUAAAAUACCAAUAAGGAUUCUGAAGAAGCCACAAGGAAUCAUACUAUUAACUAUUUAGCUAAAAGAAACCUGUAACACAUGUAAUUUCUUGUAUAAUAUACAUACAGAGUUUUAAUGGACUUUUCUCAUCUGAGCCAAAGGUGCUCCCUCCCAGUGCCAAAGAUCAUAUCACAAAAACUUCAAUUCUGACAUGAGAAAGUCCUCUUUUUAGUUGUCGGCUAGGGCUGUCCAAGAGACUUCUAAAACAUACAGCCUAUUGCUGUUGCCCUUGGUUACAUCCUGGGAGUGGAAGUUAAGUCCCAAUUGCUGAAGACACCAUGCACUUUAGAAACAGGGCUCAGGAACUCCUGAGCUGGAGCUGACUUGAAGGCUCCCUCCAGAUGUCUAGAUUUGUUGGUAACAGAAGGCACUACACAAGCUUCCAAAAGAGGGAGGCAACCAAUAGCCCUACCCAACUGUGAUGCCUGUUAACCGCUUCUACAGACCAGCAUGGCACAACAACUCUUAUGGGUACAGGAGUGGCAUGCAUACCUUGGUAGUAACCAACGACUCUCCAAUUGGACUCAAGUUCUGCUAAACAAGUGGGAAAUCAUUCCUGGUGCUGGAAACCUGGGAAACCUCUCAGUGCUAGUGACAUCAUGGUCCUUGCAGGAGAAUCUACAACUACUAACUUAUUAAACCAGCAUAACCCCGAACAACAAUCUAUAAACAUAUUUACUUAUACCCAAAGGAAAGUGCAGCCCUCUCAUCAGAGAAACUUCUCUUUGCAACAGAUGGAGACCACUACAGAAAACCACAACCAAUCGAAAUGCAGAGCUGUGUAGCCCAGCCCCAGUGGACUCAUCUACAAAACGGGCUCUGCAGGUUCAGGGAACAUUGCAGUAGAGGUGGUGGUAUCAUAAGAACCAGGGGAUCUGGGAGUGUGCUGUGAGGUUGUAUCUCCUACUACUAUCAGAAGCGAUACCCAUAAAGUCUCAUCAACAUUAUGUCCAAACAGGAGCUGAACAAGGACAACACCAAUGGGCACGACAAAGUAGACGGGGAAAAGCCCACGAGGCCUCAACCCUUCACAAAGAAUUAGAGUCUACUGAGAAAAGCUGGGAGUGGGAGAGAUGGCUUUCCCCAUGGAAGAGCACAUCCAUUGGUUGUCUAGCACCAAAUGGUCAGCCCUGAAAACGUACAUUCAAAUAACAUUAUAUGGACUGAGCAGGUAAUAUCUGGGAAUAUGUAUGUAUAUACACAUGCAAUAACAGUUAGUGAAAAAAGAAGCCAUGGAUCUGAAGGAGAGUCAGGAGGGAUACAUGGGAGGGUUUGGAGGGAGAAAACACAAGGGAGAAAUGUUGUAAUUAUAAUCUCAAGAAUGAAAUAAAAAUAUUUUUUUACGCUAUUAUAAAUUUUGUGUAUUUCUAUACAACUCCCUUUUGGAAUCUCAUAAAAGUAGAAAAUGAAAAGAAAUGUAAUUUUUAUGCUGUGUACAGUACUCCUGCAUACUGUAAACUUCUUAUUAGGGUGUAAGUUCCAAUUGACUGUAAAUUCUUUACAACGAAAGGAAAACUUUUACCUGAAAGAAAAAAUGCAUUAUUCACAGUACACCCUUUCCUGACUAUUGGAGUCUAUGUCUUCAUGACUUUUGAGCUAUCCUACAACUCUGUAAGUUGUAGAUAACACACAGCAGUAUAAAAUAAUUUUACCUUUUCUACAUGUAAAUAUAUUAUGUCUAGUGGCUGUUCACCGAUCUGUUCCCCACGCUGUGCAAGCAGCCACAUUUUCUUCUGUGGCUGUUCA
Molecule: long non-coding RNA, 3432 nt
Organism: Peromyscus leucopus (white-footed mouse)
Lineage: Eukaryota; Metazoa; Chordata; Mammalia; Rodentia; Cricetidae
Exons: 3
Source: RefSeq, a predicted model, not a curated record